RNAcentral lists this ribosomal RNA (482 nucleotides) under uncultured bacterium. Its description in RNAcentral is "bacterial SSU rRNA". It matches the Rfam family "Bacterial small subunit ribosomal RNA", at positions 15 to 518 of the family's 1533-position model. The record is from RNAcentral.
GAUUAUGGCUCAGGACGAACGCUGGCGGCGUGCUUCAUACAUGCAAGUCGAACGAUAAGGUCUCUUCGGAGAUACAUAAGUGGCGGACGGGUGAGUAAAAUGUAGAGAAUCUGCCCUAGAGUGGGGGACAACAGUUGGAAACGACUGCUAAUACCGCAUAUGAGCGUAGCUGAAAUGCUAUUCUUGAAAACUCCGGUGCUCUGGGAUGAGUCUGCAUCUGAUUAGCUAGUUGGGGGUGUAAUGGACCACCAAGGCGACGAUCAGUAGCUGGUUUGAGAGGAUGAUCAGCCACAAUGGGACUGAGACACGGCCCAUACUCCUACGGGAGGCAGCAGUAGGGAAUUUUGCGCAAUGGGGGAAACCCUGACGCAGCAACGCCGCGUGACCGAUGAAGCCCUUCGGGGUGUAAAGGUCUGUCAGUGGGGACGAAACUUGACGGUACCCACAGAGGAAGCAUCGGCUAACUCCGUGCCAGCCGCGGC